Molecule: ribosomal RNA, 523 nt
Filed under: uncultured bacterium
Lineage: Bacteria
Description: bacterial SSU rRNA
Rfam family: Bacterial small subunit ribosomal RNA
Source: RNAcentral
AGGGUUCGAUCCUGGCUCAGGAUGAACGCUAGCGGCAGGCUUAACACAUGCAAGUCGAGGGGUAACAGGAGUGCUUGCACUCGCUGACGACCGGCGCACGGGUGCGUAACGCGUAUAGAACCUACCUUUUACUGAGGGAUAGCCUUUAGAAAUGAAGAUUAAUACCUCAUGGUAUUGUAAACUGGCAUCGGUUUAUAAUUAAAGAUUUAUUGGUAAAAGAUGGCUAUGCGUCCUAUUAGCUAGAUGGUAAGGUAACGGCUUACCAUGGCAACGAUAGGUAGGGGCCCUGAGAGGGGGAUCCCCCACACUGGUACUGAGACACGGACCAGACUCCUGCGGGAGGCAGCAGUGAGGAAUAUUGGGCAAUGGAGGCAACUCUGACCCAGCCAUGCCGCGUGCAGGAAGACUGCCCUAUGGGUUGUAAACUGCUUUUAUACAGGAAGAAACACACCUACGUGUAGGUGCUUGACGGUACUGUAAGAAUAAGCACCGGCUAACUCCGUGCCAGCCGCCGCGGUAAUAC